AUUGAACGCUGGCGGCAUGCCUUACACAUGCAAGUCGAACGGUAACGGGCCUUCGGGUGCCGACGAGUGGCGAACGGGUGAGUAAUACAUCGGAACGUGCCCGAUCGUGGGGGAUAACGAGGCGAAAGCUUUGCUAAUACCGCAUACGAUCUACGGAUGAAAGCAGGGGACCGCAAGGCCUUGCGCGGACGGAGCGGCCGAUGGCAGAUUAGGUAGUUGGUGGGAUAAAAGCUUACCAAGCCGACGAUCUGUAGCUGGUCUGAGAGGAUGAUCAGCCACACUGGGACUGGGGCACGGCCCAGACUCCUACGGGAGGCAGCAGUGGGGAAUUUUGGACAAUGGGCGCAAGCCUGAUCCAGCCAUGCCGCGUGCAGGAUGAAGGCCUUCGGGUUGUAAACUGCUUUUGUACGGAACGAAAAGCCUUCUUUUAAUACAGGAGGGUCAUGACGGUACCGUAAGAAUAAGCACCGGCUAACUACGUG
This 482-nucleotide ribosomal RNA is filed under the name uncultured bacterium. RNAcentral's name for it is "partial 16S ribosomal RNA". It matches the Rfam family "Bacterial small subunit ribosomal RNA", at positions 30 to 507 of the family's 1533-position model. The record is from RNAcentral.